GGGUUGUGAGGUUAAGCGACUAAGCGUACACGGUGGAUGCCCUGGCAGUCAGAGGCGAUGAAGGACGUGCUAAUCUGCGAUAAGCGUCGGUAAGGUGAUAUGAACCGUUAUAACCGGCGAUUUCCGAAUGGGGAAACCCAGUGUGAUUCGUCACACUAUCAUUAACUGAAUCCAUAGGUUAAUGAGGCGAACCGGGGGAACUGAAACAUCUAAGUACCCCGAGG
Molecule: ribosomal RNA, 224 nt
Filed under: Escherichia coli
Lineage: Bacteria; Pseudomonadati; Pseudomonadota; Gammaproteobacteria; Enterobacterales; Enterobacteriaceae
Description: partial 23S ribosomal RNA
Rfam family: Bacterial large subunit ribosomal RNA
Source: RNAcentral